CCUGACCCUCUUCAUUCUCUCCAUUGUUUGGUGUUGACAGUGCGUUGGAUAUUGCCUAUUCUAACAGGGAUUCCAGGGUCAGUGAUAUCUGUACCACCACGCUGAUCUUCCAGAAGGCUGGUUUGGGCCUCCAAAGGACGCAGAGAGGCUUCCAGCAGCCAAACUCAGAGAGGAAAAGUCUGGAGGUUUUGCAAGAAGGUCAACUCAUAGUUCCAAGGGAUUUUCCUAG
Talpa occidentalis (Iberian mole) is the source of this 229-nucleotide long non-coding RNA. RefSeq lists it as uncharacterized. The transcript is spliced from 3 exons. The record is from RefSeq and is a predicted model, not a curated record. Lineage: Eukaryota; Metazoa; Chordata; Mammalia; Eulipotyphla; Talpidae.